UGCAGCUGAGCUCCUCUGCUUUACAUUAAAGGGGGAUGAUGGGUCUGGGUGGACAGAAAAACUGCUUGUUGCUGAAGGAAAGACGGGAAUCGCAGAGAAUGCUGCUGAAACAAACGUUCCCUUCCUUGUAAUUGGCGAGAAAGAGCCUUUCUUUGGUCAGUAUGCAAUGGGACAUCUCCGGCAUAAACAGGUGGGGUCAGUGGAAAUGCUAUAAACAGAGAAAAUGAAAAUAGAAGCCGCAACUUUCUGCAGGCAGGAGGCUGCCCGGUAUUCCCCAAGGUUAUUUAUUUUUCUCUUGCAUCUUGAAUAGAAACGUCCUGCUUGCUUGACGACGCUAAUUCUCUCUCUCUGUCUGGCAUCCAAGGCAAUCGCAGCACUCAAUGUAUUUGGAACUCACCCACUCCGACCUAAUAUAACCACCCAACAAAAUACAUCAGAUGGAGUUUUUAAUAAGCCACAAGUCCAUUCCUGGAAAAAGGGAAUAAAUUGAAAUCCUUCAAGUGCUGCCAACGAAGAAAGAAAGAAAAAGAAAGAAAGAAAGAAAGAAAGAAAGAAAGAAAGAAACUUGGAAAUUUAACAGAAUAACUCUUCCCCUCCCCCGGCCCACAGUCUUUCCUGCACGUGAAUAUAAUUGCCAGCAUCCUGGAGGAGAAGGUUUAGUUAUAAGUUUUAAAAAGAGGCCUGUUUUUUCUCCUUUUAACUCUCUCUCUGUUUUCUUGCUUAAUGGAGCUAAUAAUUUCUGAAAGAAAAGAUAGUGAACGUUUCAUCUUCUAGAUAGGUGUCAGAAGGAACUAUCGCUUUGCAUCUGCCUCUGAGCCCAUUCACAAGGACAUCAAAGAUCUUGCCACACUUCAGAUUUAAAUGUAUUUUCUUUUCUUCCCCCAUACAUAUUAGGUUUUUUAAAAUCAAAGAGGCAUUCCUUAUGGUUUCCAAUCUGUGGUCAAAAUGAUGAUAACCCAGCAGAAUGAUAUAAGGAUGUUGGUGUACCAAAAACAACAACAGGCACUUAUUGUGGAACAAGAUUCCAGAGAGUCUAAUCUAGAGAAAAUUUAUGCCAGCAUGAAUGUGUGGAUCUCUAAGAAAUGUUCCAGGUUUGCAACCAUUAUAUUGUUUGAAGAGGACUUUCUAACAUGAUAUGUGUCACAUCUUCCAAGGUUAGUUUAUGAAAGUUUUUGUAUAUGUGUUAAAGUGGUAAUCUCU
RNAcentral lists this long non-coding RNA (1200 nucleotides) under Salvator merianae (Argentine black and white tegu). Its description in RNAcentral is "lncRNA (ENSSMRG00000007667.1)". The record is from RNAcentral. Lineage: Eukaryota; Metazoa; Chordata; Lepidosauria; Squamata; Teiidae.